AUGCACACCCUCCCCCCAACCCCACGGCCCCGCCCUGACGACAUGGCCGCGAAGAUAGAUGAGGUGAUCGCCGCCAAGCUUGACAAGCCACUGCGCUUCGAUGAUGGGGACGAUGGAGGCAGUGACGGGUCGCUGGACAUGGGGCCUGCCCUGUCCCGUCAAACCCCGUUGGCUGCAAGCAUGCAUGAAGUGCAGCUGGGCACGGUCAUGCAGAGGGUCACAGAGAUGCAGCUCCAAGAGGAGGGAGCCGAGGGCGCACUGCAGCCACCCCUCUUCUCCAAGCCGGCGUCGGCAAUCGUCGGAAAGCCACCGGCGAGUGACAAGACGCCCCUCAAGGCUUGCCCACAGGCCAAGCCGGCCAGGCAGAGCGCACGCCAAGCUGCCAACCCUUCCCCAGUGCCGGUCUCCCAGCGGGCGACGCUCAGGCUAGUGCAGGGCCUCGGGGUCCUCGGGCCAAAGGAGAAGAUGACGGCUCAAGUUGCUGAAGCCCUCAUCCGCCAUUUCGAUGAACCACUGUCUGAUGACGACAUCGCUGCCAUCGCGAAGCUCACCAGCCUCGACGCCAACACGCUCAAGGCGAUCGCUGGCAUGCCUAGCCAGAAUGGAAGCGCCGCGCCGCCCCGUUCCCCAUGUUAG
This 636-nucleotide ribosomal RNA is filed under the name Triticum aestivum (bread wheat). RNAcentral describes it as "partial small subunit ribosomal RNA". Lineage: Eukaryota; Viridiplantae; Streptophyta; Magnoliopsida; Poales; Poaceae. The record is from RNAcentral.